AGUGAACGCUGGCGGCAUGCCUAACACAUGCAAGUCGAACGGCAGCACAGCAGUAGCAAUACUGUGGGUGGCGAGUGGCGGACGGGUGAGGAAUACAUCGGAAUCUGCCCGGUUGUGGGGGAUAACGUAGGGAAACUUACGCUAAUACCGCAUACGAUCGAGAGAUGAAAGCGGGGGACCGAAAGGCCUCGCGCAGUCGGAUGAGCCGAUGUCGGAUUAGCUAGUUGGCGGGGUAAUGGCCCACCAAGGCGACGAUCCGUAGCUGGUCUGAGAGGAUGAUCAGCCACACUGGGACUGAGACACGGCCCAGACUCCUACGGGAGGCAGCAGUGGGGAAUAUUGGACAAUGGGGGCAACCCUGAUCCAGCAAUGCCGCGUGUGUGAAGAAGGCCUUCGGGUUGUAAAGCACUUUUAUCUGGAACGAAACACGCAGGGUGAAUAUCCUUGCGGACUGACGGUACCAGAGGAAUAAGCACCGGCUAACUUCGUGCCAGCAGCCGCGGUAAUACGAAGGAUGCAAGCGUUACUCGGAAUUACUGGGCGUAAAGCGUGCGUAGGUGGUUUCUUAAGUCUGCUGUGAAAGCCCCGGGCUCAACCUGGGAAUUGCAGUGGAUACUGGGGAGCUAGAGUGCGGUAGAGGGUAGUGGAAUUCCCGGUGUAGCGGUGAAAUGCGUAGAGAUCGGGAGGAACACCAGUGGCGAAGGCGGCUACCUGGACCAGCACUGACACUGAGGCACGAAAGCGUGGGGAGCAACAGGAUUNNAUACCCUGGUAGUCCACGCCCUAAACGAUGCGAACUGGACG
This 804-nucleotide ribosomal RNA is filed under the name uncultured bacterium. RNAcentral's name for it is "bacterial SSU rRNA". It matches the Rfam family "Bacterial small subunit ribosomal RNA", at positions 28 to 822 of the family's 1533-position model. The record is from RNAcentral.